GGGGAUUUAGCUCAGCGGUAGAGCACUUGCCUAGGAAGCGCAAGGCCCUGGGUUCGGUUCCCAGCUCCG
Molecule: transfer RNA, 69 nt
Filed under: Rattus norvegicus (Norway rat)
Lineage: Eukaryota; Metazoa; Chordata; Mammalia; Rodentia; Muridae
Rfam family: tRNA
About the family: Transfer RNA (tRNA) molecules are approximately 80 nucleotides in length. Their secondary structure includes four short double-helical elements and three loops (D, anti-codon, and T loops).
Source: Rfam by way of RNAcentral